Molecule: ribosomal RNA, 465 nt
Filed under: Escherichia coli
Lineage: Bacteria; Pseudomonadati; Pseudomonadota; Gammaproteobacteria; Enterobacterales; Enterobacteriaceae
Description: bacterial SSU rRNA
Rfam family: Bacterial small subunit ribosomal RNA
Source: RNAcentral
CCUGAUGGAGGGGGAUAACUACUGGAAACGGUAGCUAAUACCGCAUAACGUCGCAAGACCAAAGAGGGGGACCUUCGGGCCUCUUGCCAUCGGAUGUGCCCAGAUGGGAUUAGCUAGUAGGUGGGGUAACGGCUCACCUAGGCGACGAUCCCUAGCUGGUCUGAGAGGAUGACCAGCCACACUGGAACUGAGACACGGUCCAGACUCCUACGGGAGGCAGCAGUGGGGAAUAUUGCACAAUGGGCGCAAGCCUGAUGCAGCCAUGCCGCGUGUAUGAAGAAGGCCUUCGGGUUGUAAAGUACUUUCAGCGGGGAGGAAGGGAGUAAAGUUAAUACCUUUGCUCAUUGACGUUACCCGCAGAAGAAGCACCGGCUAACUCCGUGCCAGCAGCCGCGGUAAUACGGAGGGUGCAAGCGUUAAUCGGAAUUACUGGGCGUAAAGCGCACGCAGGCGGUUUGUUAAGUC